AUCUGGCUGCAACAUCUGUCACCUCACUGAUUGCCAGCGUUGAUUCAACUGAACUUGCUGCCUAAGUAGGUGGCCUU
Molecule: small RNA, 77 nt
Filed under: Notechis scutatus (mainland tiger snake)
Lineage: Eukaryota; Metazoa; Chordata; Lepidosauria; Squamata; Elapidae
Description: 7SK RNA (ENSNSUG00000010407.1)
Source: RNAcentral